AGGAUAUCCCCCAACAGAUUGGUGGUGUAGACUGUGGAGUCUUCAUGUUGAUGUAUGCUCUACAUCUUGUCUUGGGAGCACCCUUUGAUUUUACAUCUUGCGACUUUCCAAACAUACGGAGAUGGUGGGCUCUUAUUCUUCUGGAGAACUUUGGGGUUUUCUCUGAAAGUGCAGGAACCCUACAAGAGUCCCUUCCAUGUGAAGAACAAGCUACGCUUAGCAGCAGUGAGGCGG
Xyrauchen texanus (razorback sucker) is the source of this 234-nucleotide long non-coding RNA. RefSeq lists it as uncharacterized. Lineage: Eukaryota; Metazoa; Chordata; Actinopteri; Cypriniformes; Catostomidae. The record is from RefSeq and is a predicted model, not a curated record. The transcript is spliced from 4 exons.